GGCACUUUGGCGGAGUGGUUAACGCGAUGCCCUGCUAUUAUCCAUAGCGGCCUAGGCAUUUCCUUCGGGAGCGCAGGUUCGAAUCCUGCAGGUGUCG
Transfer RNA from Microdochium bolleyi, 97 nucleotides. It matches the Rfam family "tRNA". From Rfam's summary of the family: Transfer RNA (tRNA) molecules are approximately 80 nucleotides in length. Their secondary structure includes four short double-helical elements and three loops (D, anti-codon, and T loops). The record is from Rfam. NCBI's taxonomy places the organism in Eukaryota, Fungi, Ascomycota, Sordariomycetes, Xylariales, Microdochiaceae.